AUGCGCCGGAGCAGGUGGUCGGACCUCCCGGUGGAUCUGCUCCGUGAGAUCGCUGGCCGCCUGCACGUCGCCGUCGACUUGGUCUGCUUCCACGCCGUCUGCAAGCCAUGGCGCAGCUCACGCGACCUGCUGUCGCAGACAACGGCGACCCACCUGUUCCUGCCCUGGAUCCUCGCGCCGGUGGUGUCGGACUCCCCGCUCAAGCUCAGAUGCGUCUUCUCCAAGUCCGGCUACUGCGCGCCGCCGACAGUGCCUCUUAGGGACUGGGUCACCAGCCAUCUUCGCCCCAGCUACUACACCUACCUGUCUCGUUCCCCGCUCAUCCAAUGGGAGGAGGGCCGUCCAAGUGGCAUCGUCUACGGCGACGGCACCACCUUUGUCUACAGCACCUCCCGCGUCAAGUAUCUGCAUGACACCAUGACCAGGUUUAGUGCGGCUCUUUUCUGUCCCGGUGACACAGAGUGGACGCUCGUCGAGAGGACCCUUGAGACCCCCUGGCCCUGGUCCUGGUGGUCCGGCGAGUUUUGCGCCGUACCACGGAGGCAAGAUCCUCCUCACUGUCAAGGCUAA
Molecule: ribosomal RNA, 570 nt
Filed under: Triticum aestivum (bread wheat)
Lineage: Eukaryota; Viridiplantae; Streptophyta; Magnoliopsida; Poales; Poaceae
Description: partial small subunit ribosomal RNA
Source: RNAcentral